UUGCACCAUCACUACUUAAAGCAAAGCUCUACACGGUGCUGCGUUUUUCUCCAUUUGCAUUGGAUAUUUUCAAAAAAUAUUCUGAAGGUGCCUAAGUUGCUAUUAUCCUGGGGAUCUGAAUGUCCUGAAAGAAAUUCCGCACGCCAAGCUGAACACUCUUCCUAAACUCCUGGGUGAUUAAGAAAUAGACUCU
RNAcentral lists this long non-coding RNA (193 nucleotides) under Papio anubis (olive baboon). RNAcentral describes it as "lncRNA (ENSPANG00000047620.1)". Lineage: Eukaryota; Metazoa; Chordata; Mammalia; Primates; Cercopithecidae. The record is from RNAcentral.